This 253-nucleotide ribosomal RNA is filed under the name uncultured bacterium. RNAcentral's name for it is "partial 16S ribosomal RNA". It matches the Rfam family "Bacterial small subunit ribosomal RNA", at positions 524 to 776 of the family's 1533-position model. The record is from RNAcentral.
UACGAAGGGGGCUAGCGUUGCUCGGAAUGACUGGGCGUAGAGGGCGCGUAGGCGGUUUGUACAGUCAGGUGUGAAAUUCCCGGGCUCAACCUGGGGGCUGCACUUGAUACGUAGGAACUGGAGUGGGGAAGAGGGUCGUGGAAUUCCCAGUGUAGCGGUGAAAUGCGUAGAUAUCGAGAGGAACACCUGCGGCGAAGGCGGGUUGCUGGGCCGACACUGACGCUGAUGCGCGAAAGCCAGGGGAGCGAACGGG